RNAcentral lists this ribosomal RNA (490 nucleotides) under uncultured bacterium. RNAcentral describes it as "partial 16S ribosomal RNA". It matches the Rfam family "Bacterial small subunit ribosomal RNA", at positions 30 to 507 of the family's 1533-position model. The record is from RNAcentral.
AUUGAACGCUGGCGGCAGGCCUAACACAUGCCAGUCGAACGGUAACAGGGAUCAGCUUGCUGAUUCGCUGACGAGUGGCGGACGGGUGAGUAAUGUCUGUGAAACUGCCUGAUGGAGGGGGAUAACUACUGGAAACGGUAGCUAAUACCGCAUAACGUCGCAAGACCAAAGAGGGGGACCUUCUGGCCUCUUGCCAUCGGAUGUGCCCAGAUGGGAUUAGCUAGUAGGUGGGGUAACGGCUCACCUAGGCGACGAUCCCUAGCUGGUCUGAGAGGAUGACCAGCCACACUGGAACUGAGACACGGUCCAGACUCCUACGGGAGGCAGCAGUGGGGAAUAUUGCACAAUGGGCGCAAGCCUGAUGCAGCCAUGCCGCGUGUAUGAAGAAGGCCUUCGGGUUGUAAAGUACUUUUAGCGGGGAGGAAGGGAGUAAAGUUAAUACCUUUGCUUAUUGACGUUACCCGCAGAAGAAGCACCGGCUAACUCCGUG